UGUCCCCAGGAAGCCUCCUGGGCAACGACCCCGCCAGCCGCCCCAGCCCCCUUUCCCCGCAAUCUAACGCUGGCCUGCCACUGGGUCUGUGAAGGGGCUCCCGUGUGCCGCACUCCACGCACAAUCCCUGACCUAACCGGGUCCGACAACCUGCUGGUGAGGAAGUGAAAUAGAUCCACACCCACAGAAAGACUCCUGCGAAACGGACACUAAUCGCAGCAUUGUUCACCACAGCCAGAGACUGGAACCACCGGCCUGACUAUCACCAGGACUGUUUAGAUAAAUGAUUAUGUUCAGACAAUGGACUAUGUGAAGAAUGCUCUCCCACUGCUGAUCUGGAAAGAUCUCCAAGGUAUAUUGUUAAGUUAAAAAAAAAAAAGAAUGAAAGAAAGAAAGCAAAGGA
This is a long non-coding RNA of Suricata suricatta (meerkat), 403 nucleotides long. RefSeq lists it as uncharacterized. Lineage: Eukaryota; Metazoa; Chordata; Mammalia; Carnivora; Herpestidae. The record is from RefSeq and is a predicted model, not a curated record. The transcript has 2 exons.